RNAcentral lists this long non-coding RNA (4064 nucleotides) under Gallus gallus (chicken). The record is from RNAcentral. Lineage: Eukaryota; Metazoa; Chordata; Aves; Galliformes; Phasianidae.
GUACCUUCUGGGAGCAGCUGGGCAAGCUGACCAGAUCUUCCUUCUGCUGCAAGAGGAUGCUGUGUAGGAGGGGCUCUGGGUCUUCUCCAACGAAGACAGGUUAUAACAGAUGGCCUUUUUACCUAACCUGAGCGAGCCACUGUACUGACAGUGACUGGAGGCAACGCAGCCCUUCUUGAAGAGCCCCUCAUUCCCAUCCUGGGGCAUCUGAGUUCCUGAAGUGGGCACAGUGUUUACAGAGUCGGCAAUGGGAUGUGCAGCUUCGCAUCAUCUUAAGGCAGAUCAAUGCGUCGCCUGCCUUGCCCUGCUCUCACCAGUAGAGAUGUGGUAGCCCGUUGGUCUUCCUGCUAUUGCUGUGAUAAGAAGCCCCCAAAAUGUUUCCGUUGCAGCCAUCAUGUCAAUCCAGGCCUUGAUGCAGUUGAGCACUGAAGAUACUUGGCCCUCCUUGUAACACAGCUUUACUUUGGUCCUGCGUGGUUUAAGGCACCAGACUCUCACUGGAGUUUACCUAAGGACUUGGGAUCUCACCAUUUUUAGUGGUAUAUGGAUACUUCAAACAAAGCAUCGGAGAAUUUUUAGUGUUCUUACUUAAAGAAAACCUGAGGUCAGAAACCGAGCUUUCUCAGGAAAUCUGUGGUCAGAGCAGGAAAGAGGACCCAGGUGUCCCGAGCUCUUAACGUUCAGCCUUUCCUCUCCUGCCCCCAAGCUGCCUGAGAGCAUGUUUGGAAGGAUGCCUGCUUGCUCAGAUACGGUGCAGACCUUCCUUCUUCUCUCGCCACAGCUGUGAACUUCUAGGAGGUCCUUAUACUCUCAGCCGGAACACGUCUGAGUACGUAGACGAAACGUCAGGACCAGGACUGAGUGUGUGCCACUGAGAAGAGAAAUCCCAUCUGUGCUGUGGAGCAGGAGCUUGGUUUUGGUUGUGAUUUCUCCCCACCAGCUGGUCUGAGUAAUUACAUAAUGUAUCGAGCCAAGACAUCCUGCUUUAUGCAACAAGUAAAUUCAUUUACAACCAUCUUUUAAAGCAAAGAAGAUAUACACUGCAUGUCCUCCUUUAACUGCACUACUUUUAAGAGUGCAAUCAACAAGCUAUUCAUUAGCUGGCUAGCAUAACAGUCUCAGAGGAGGCUGUGCCUGUUUUUCUUCUGCCCAGGACCUGCUCUGGUGUCAGGAGGUGAUGCAGUAGGUGCCUGCUGUGGCACAUGACCUUUCCCAAGGUGUGAACAGAGCUUUCUUGGUUGCCUCACACUCCUUACAGGAACCGCGGGGUGAGUGCCUGGGAACAGAUCGCUUUCCUGGUUGCAUCUGUGCUGUUUCUCUCCAUGUGGACUGGGAAAUGUGUAUGGGGCAGGCUCCGUACAGGGGAAUAGCAGGGCAUUGCUGUAGGUACUAACAUUGGCAAUAGGGAAAGCUGGCACUGUAUCACUGCUCUCUUCUUGGAUCCAAGACAAGGUCUCACUGUAAGGUACAAAGGAAUAAGGCCAACCACAGCCACUGUCAGCUCUGCUUCCCCACAGACGUGGUAUGUUAUGAAGACAAAAGCCCGGGAAGCAAGAACUCCACCAGAGAGGGAACAGGUGGAGGAAACGUGAAAUACAUCCCAGCAGAUCCAUUAUGGACAGUAUUAGCACUUCAUCUGCAACGCAUGACAUCGUAUCACUGUUCCAGCUGCCGAAUCUUUGAAGUGCCUUGUGAAACUUGUUCAGAACUCUGCAAGAGGAUUUAGCUGCUGAAGCUCCCCGACCUGUUUCAGCAGGGGGCUGUGGGCAGUUGGCAGUUAUUGGCAGGACGAGGCUGAGGAGCUAAUGCUGGUGCUAGCAGGAAGGAGGCAGGCUGACAUCGUGGGUUAGGACUCCUAGGAAGUAUUAGUAAAGAAUAGCCCAUUUGUCUUUUUCCCUGCAAAAUAAAAAGCAAGCAUGCAAAUCAACAUGCACACACACCUGUGGGUGAUUGACGUGUUGGGCUGUUAUUGCCUUAUCCCUUGCACCUGCUUGCAUAGCUGUGACACCCAGAUUUGACUCUUGGGGAUCUCACGUGCUGUGAAGACACAUCUUACGUUGGGUGGUAUCCUCGAAAAUCCCUGUGCUAAGCAGAGCAAGUGCAAAGGUAAUAAGCGGGUGGGGGUGGAAAUGAAGAGGUCAACAAGAAGGGAAGGGAAAAGCUUCUGGAUGCCAUUCAGGAUAAGAUGGCUGGAUAGAGAUGGAAUGGGAAUAUUACAGAGGAACAAGCCAGAUAUAGUACAAGUAGAAGCCUGGUUCUUCUGGGUGGCCAGGUGGGGAUCUAGGUCUGCAGCACAACAGAGAGAGCGGCCAAGUCAAUCUCAGCUUCAACAAGCAUACUGCAAUAGCUGAAAGAAAACAUUUAAGAAAAUGUCUACCAUCUAAAUGAAAGCUUGUCUGGGCUAGUUUAAUCUGUAUGGCGGAUGUUUUUUAUGUAUCAUGUGACUUGAUGCUACAGCACUCACUCCACGUGGUUAUCGCCAGAGCAAUGGCAGCAGCGCGUGCCACAUUUUCUGCCUUUAGAAACACAAAGCCUUGUCUCACAGAAGCUCAGACAUGCCCUGGCUGAUGGGAGCCGCAUCCUUCUGCGUGAUGGUUUAAAAAUAACAUGUGCGCACGCAGAGCAACAAGACAUGCCUUCCCUGUUCCUGCGGCUUCCUGAGAACACAGCCGGAUGUUUUCAGGCCAUGCUAGGGAUGGCCCAGGGAGAGGGGCCAUAGAAGAGUUAGCAGGGAUGGGUCUGAUCACAGGACGUGGAUGGAGAAAUGGCUAGUCAUAUCUCCAGAUCUGACUGCAGAUAGCAGUAUCAUAUUAUUACUCUAUAUACGAUGGUCUGCUGCAGAUUUCUGUGUCGUUGUGCCAGUGCUGAGUGAUUAUAUUGCCAUACACUAAAAAAAGAUGGCAAGAGGCUAUGCUGGUUUGCAACCUGACUCAAUGUUUUUAGAGCCUGACUAAAAGCAGAAGAAAGAAAAGAUGGUUGCCUGCAUCUGGAUCAUACAUUGCUUGGGUUACAGCAAACAGGGCUCUUUUGUACUAGAGGAUGCUUGGGGCAGUCUGAGAUUCCAGACAUUGGUGACUUGUCCUUCACGAGCAUCUGUAUCAGAGACCUCAUCUAAUGGUCAUCAUAGACAAACAUUCUCAAUACUCAGUGAGUUAUGCGGUUACACAGAAUUUGUUUCUUAACAAAAACUGCUUUGAGAGGUGCUGUGCUGUAGCGUGUUCCUUCUUGCUUUGUGGGCCUGGUGCAAAUCAUGACCUGCCAUGCUCCCUCCUUGGGACUGUCUCCCACAAUUUGCCCGAUUUGAGAGCAAAGAAGGAUGAAGAAGCAUUUCUCCUGGCUCAGCUACACAACUUCUUCUGUAUAUUCAAGUUGGGUAUUAGGAAUGAUUUCUUCUCAGAAAAAGUGGUGAGGCACUGGCACAGACUGCCCAGGGACGUGGUGGAGUCACCAUCUCUGUGGAAUGAAAAAUCCACCCUGAGCUCUUAUAUACAGAGAUACUAUCUUUGCUUCAGGAAAUAUCUGGUAUUUCUGGGGAAGUGUGACUACAGGCUUUCCUGGGGUUUAUAUCUUCCUUAGGCAUCUGCUACUGGCUGCUCUCAGAUGGCAGGGUGCCCAGCUAUGGCCCUUGGUCUGUUUUUAAGUGAGACCAGACAGGUUGGCUGCCAUUGUCAGCCUGUUCCUGACAGGUACAACACCCUGCUUCAAAAAUCAUCAUCUCCCCCAAGCUCAUUCGCAGUUCCCUGAUUGGAUGGAAGCUUUCAAUGCAGAAUUCUGCUCGGUGGUGGUGAGGAAGCCCUGUCCGUGCCAGAAACCUUCAUGUUGGAGAGCGAUGGUUGUUUCUUGGGAAAGGCUUGCAGAGCCACAGGGUGCACUAUUUCUGUGUGGUCCUGAUCCAGCUAACCUGGCCCAUGAUACGUGAAGGAAGCAGUAUACUGCUGUGUUGCUUUCCAUAUGUUAACACAGUUCUGGUGCCUUUUGGUAAUACAAGAAAAAGGCCCCGCCUGUUUUGCUAAGCACUGCACAAAGGUUUCCAGGGCAGUGCCUGGAAAUCUGUUAGAUUCCAG